RNAcentral lists this small nuclear RNA (106 nucleotides) under Sciurus vulgaris (Eurasian red squirrel). The record is from RNAcentral. Lineage: Eukaryota; Metazoa; Chordata; Mammalia; Rodentia; Sciuridae.
GUGUUCAUUUUGGCAGCAUGUAUCCUGACAUUGCAGGGUGCAGAGGAGAUUAGCAUGGCCCCUGCACAAAGGUGAUAUGCAAAUUUGCAAAUCAUGCCCCAAUGUA